UUUUUUCAGGUGGAAUUCAGUUUGGCCA
RNAcentral lists this non-coding RNA (28 nucleotides) under Mus musculus (house mouse). Lineage: Eukaryota; Metazoa; Chordata; Mammalia; Rodentia; Muridae. The record is from RNAcentral.